RNAcentral lists this ribosomal RNA (254 nucleotides) under uncultured bacterium. RNAcentral's name for it is "partial 16S ribosomal RNA". It matches the Rfam family "Bacterial small subunit ribosomal RNA", at positions 524 to 776 of the family's 1533-position model. The record is from RNAcentral.
UACGGGGGGAGCAAGCGUUGUUCGGAUUUACUGGGCGUAAAGGGCGCGUAGGCGGUCGUGACAAGUCACUUGUGAAAUCUCCGGGCUUAACUCGGAACGGUCAAGUGAUACUGUCGGACUAGAGUACAGAAGGGGCAACUGGAAUUCUCGGUGUAGCGGUGAAAUGCGUAGAUAUUGGGAGGAACACCAGUGGCGAAGGCGGCUCACUGGACCGGAACUGACGCUGAGGCGCGAAAGCGUGGGGAGCAAACAGG